Molecule: long non-coding RNA, 199 nt
Filed under: Ananas comosus (pineapple)
Lineage: Eukaryota; Viridiplantae; Streptophyta; Magnoliopsida; Poales; Bromeliaceae
Description: long non-coding RNA (ACOM_LNC036663)
Source: RNAcentral
GUAUACAGGAAAAAUUCCUUUGUAUACGACGGAUUUAUCGGCGUGCCCGGGGAACGAGUAAUCCGGGGCGUGACACAUGUCAUUUGAUUACAUUUUAAUCAAAUACAAGUAAACUAAACAUUUUACAUUCAUUUACAUCCCAAAGACAUUCAUCCAAAACAUGUUAUUUACAUCUUUAUACAUCUCUAGUUCAACAUAC